GACGAACGCUGGCGGCGUGCCUAAUACAUGCAAGUAGAACGCUGAAGGAGGAGCUUGCUUCUCUGGAUGAGUUGCGAACGGGUGAGUAACGCGUAGGUAACCUGCCUGGUAGCGGGGGAUAACUAUUGGAAACGAUAGCUAAUACCGCAUAAUAGUAGAUGUUGCAUGACAUUUGCUUAAAAGGUGCAAUUGCAUCACUACCAGAUGGACCUGCGUUGUAUUAGCUAGUUGGUGGGGUAACGGCUCACCAAGGCGACGAUACAUAGCCGACCUGAGAGGGUGAUCGGCCACACUGGGACUGAGACACGGCCCAGACUCCUACGGGAGGCAGCAGUAGGGAAUCUUCGGCAAUGGACGGAAGUCUGACCGAGUAACGCCGCGUGAGUGAAGAAGGUUUUCGGAUCGUAAAGCUCUGUUGUAAGAGAAGAACGAGUGUGAGAGUGGAAAGUUCACACUGUGACGGUAUCUUACCAGAAAGGGACGGCUAACUACGUG
RNAcentral lists this ribosomal RNA (495 nucleotides) under uncultured bacterium. RNAcentral's name for it is "partial 16S ribosomal RNA". It matches the Rfam family "Bacterial small subunit ribosomal RNA", at positions 28 to 507 of the family's 1533-position model. The record is from RNAcentral.